RNAcentral lists this transfer RNA (87 nucleotides) under Pseudomonas sp. RNAcentral describes it as "tRNA-Leu". It matches the Rfam family "tRNA". From Rfam's summary of the family: Transfer RNA (tRNA) molecules are approximately 80 nucleotides in length. Lineage: Bacteria; Pseudomonadati; Pseudomonadota; Gammaproteobacteria; Pseudomonadales; Pseudomonadaceae. RNAcentral also lists the same sequence under 3 other names. The record is from RNAcentral.
GCCCGGAUGGCGAAAUUGGUAGACGCAAGGGACUUAAAAUCCCUCGAUGGCAACAUCGUGCCGGUUCGACCCCGGCUCCGGGCACCA